GGUAACUACGAGCACAAGCUUAAAACCCAAAGGACUUGGCGGUGCUUUAGACCCCCCUAGAGGAGCCUGUUCUAGAACCGAUAAUCCCCGUUAAACCUCACCCAUUCUUGUUAUUUCCGCCUAUAUACCGCCGUCGCCAGCUUACCCUGUAAAGAUAUUAUAGUAAACAAAACCGGCUCAGCCCAGAACGUCAGGUCGAGGUGUAGCGAAUGAAUGGGGAAGAAAUGGGCUACAUUUCCUAACUUUAGGAAAUUACGGAGUAUAUAAUGAAAAAAUAUAUAAAGGAGGAUUUAGCAGUAAACAGAAAAUAGAGUGUUCUGUUGAAACCGGCCCUGAAGCGCGCACAUACCGCCCGUCACUCUCCCCGAAUCUGCUCACAAUACUUAAUUAAAACCCAAUAUUUGAUAAAGGGGAGGCAAGUCGUAACAUGGUAAGUGUACCGGAAGGUGCACUUGGAAAAAU
RNAcentral lists this ribosomal RNA (462 nucleotides) under Callopanchax occidentalis (golden pheasant panchax). RNAcentral's name for it is "partial 12S ribosomal RNA". It matches the Rfam family "Bacterial small subunit ribosomal RNA", at positions 875 to 1533 of the family's 1533-position model. Lineage: Eukaryota; Metazoa; Chordata; Actinopteri; Cyprinodontiformes; Nothobranchiidae. The record is from RNAcentral.